Molecule: ribosomal RNA, 399 nt
Filed under: Triticum aestivum (bread wheat)
Lineage: Eukaryota; Viridiplantae; Streptophyta; Magnoliopsida; Poales; Poaceae
Description: partial small subunit ribosomal RNA
Source: RNAcentral
AUGGCAUCCGAACUGAAUGACAGAGAUGCGUUGGACUUUUCUAUCUACGUGAUGAAACACCAUGAUGCGAAUCAUUCAAGAGCGACAGCAACACUGAACGGUAACCAUGUCCGAGCGAUGGCCCGCCACGGCGUGCCAUCAUCAUCAGUAUGGGGGCACAGCAUCGACGCUGUAUCAGGGGCCAGGGAGAUGCUGCAAAAGAUCGCAGGGCUGUUUAGAAAAGAUUUUGGGGAUCUGAAUGCCCCUAUUGGCUCGCCUUUGGGGAAAGGUGAGCCGUGUUGGAGCAUAAAAGGACUUGUUGCUCGUAGACUGAAAAGACAUUAUAAGUUCCAUGAAAAGCAAAUUUGUGAGGGGGCUUCCCUUAUGGAUUGGCAGGUGAAGUGUCACAUUGCAAAUUAG